Molecule: small RNA, 86 nt
Filed under: Rhizobium etli
Lineage: Bacteria; Pseudomonadati; Pseudomonadota; Alphaproteobacteria; Hyphomicrobiales; Rhizobiaceae
Also listed under: 1 other name
Description: miscellaneous other RNA
Source: RNAcentral
CAUGAUGCCGAAAAGUGUGAGCGGUUUUCGGGCGACAUCAUGCUCUAACUCUUUAAUGUAGAACAGGAUUCAGAUUUUAGGCCCAC